This is an RNA transcript of Anopheles coluzzii, 8231 nucleotides long. It is a transcript of the gene named hippocampus abundant transcript 1 protein, with no coding region annotated. NCBI's taxonomy places the organism in Eukaryota, Metazoa, Arthropoda, Insecta, Diptera, Culicidae. The record is from RefSeq and is a predicted model, not a curated record. The transcript has 12 exons.
GCGGAAUGCAAGGCACGGCAGCACAACAGCCAACGCGGUCACAGCAGCAGCAACCCAGCCAGCCAGCCCAAAAACAACAACCUUCCAGAGUGAGCAAUCAGUGCGUCUGAAAGAAGAAAAGACCAUCCCGAAAAGAGAAAGAAACCAAAUCAAAGGGUGUACACGGUACGGUGUACGACGAUUGUGAAGAAUUAUUUGCCAUCAAAUUCAGUGCCUCUCUCAAACAGAAUCAAAUACAAGCAAGCAAGCAAACAGUGGAAUCCGUUCAAUUUUCAACCACACCCUCUAGCACACGCCCAGCAAAGCCUGACAAAAGUCCUUGAAGCGAGCAGCAAUAAACCGAGGAGUGCAUGCGUGGGUGGUGAAGUCGUCCAGGGAGCCAUCAUCAUCGUAUACGUCCUAGGAGGAGUCACGGAGGAAGCGAGGCGCAAUCGCCCACACAGAAUUGCUUAAUCCUCCGCAGGAACCAAGAAUAACGCAGCAGCAGCAGCAGCAGCAGUGCUUCCGUUCGACUGAGAGCUUUAAAAUACGCGCACACACCAUAGGAGACACACCCACAAAAACGGGGUGGGCUGCAUUCGAUCUGUGAACCACUGAUAGUGACAGUGUGUGAGAAUACCUGCAUAGCCGGAAUCAUAAAUUGCAAUCGAGAGACGGUCUGAGACGGGGCCUAUAGGAUACAUACAUAGAGGAAUAUAUUUUGAAUUGCGUUGUAUGUGUGUGCCUGAAGGAAGCAAAAGUGCACUACUCUUCUGUCAUACCUCAAGAACGCUUUACUUCUACCACACUACCCAGAGAGAUAGGAAACGUUUAUUUUUUCACCGAUAGUAUCUGACAAGUUCCUACGCAACGGCGGAAGCCAUUUAUAAGCGCGCGUUUGCUGCUGCUUUCUCUCUCUCGAAUGAAGACAUAAAAAUUCAAAAUUCCUCAAACCCAUAGAAGAAGAGAGCACAAGAGCGCGUGAGUCAAGCUCGAGGCAAUUGUGUGGACACGUUUUGCAAAAAGCGUCAAUAAUCGGCCACCGCGUUGCCGCAAUUCCGUCCGUGUCCGGUUCGCGGUUGAUUGACGCCGACGCGUCGGAAGUAAAUGCGUACAUUUGUGCGGGUCGGGUUGUCCAUUGUACGUUACUGUUUGCCAGCUCUACAACCUGUCUCUCACGUCGCCACACGAGCUCAACCGGCGCGAAGAUUCGGUGAUCGCGAUCAGCCGCAGCAGCGCGCAAGGUGUUUAAAUUUAGCAGCUUCCCGCACGGCACAACCUGAGGGACGGAUAUAUCCGCGCACAAACCCUGGUACUGUCUGUGUGUGUUUGACUGUAUUGGCGGCUCGUGUUUAACACCUCUCACCCCCAGUGCGACAGAGUGAGAGCGCUUUUUAAACAAGACGAACCCCGAAAAUCACGCCGUUGGCUGAUGGGCAGCAGAUCGGAUUUUGCUGAAGGUUGCUGAUUCGCAAAGUACACUUAGAAGCUUACGUGGAGAGAGAGAGAGCAAAUUGUGCUCCCGAAGUAGAGGGAAGUCAAGAAUCCAGCCUACCAUACUCUAAUCUAUAUCUAUAGACUACACUCCACACACACACACACUUCGCGUUAAAUGAGCCCGAGUCGGUGCCAUUAUUGUUAUCACUGUUGUUGUUGCGGUAGCGGAAGUCGGAAUCGAGUCGUCAGUACCGGCAGCGGACGGAUCGGUGGCACAGGUCCGCUCGGCUGGAUGCAGCUCUGGCAGCGCAAGGUAGCGAUCGCUGGCAGUAGGGAAAAGUUUGCCGAUUAACGCCCGCCAGGCGAAAGCAGCAGCGAAAAAGGGUCAAUUCCGUGGACAGGCGAGCAAGGCUAACGUGGUACGGGAACGGUAUAGUACAAGUGAGGAUGGAGGAGCAUUCGGCAAAGUUUUUGGGUGCAGCGACAGUAGCAGCAGCGGCGGGUGCUGCCAGCACGAAGUUGUCUCACAUGGGUGAGGCGUCGGCGGCGGCAGUGGCCGUUCCUGCGAGCCAGCAGCUGCGACCCGGAACCGGGAAUGCAAGUGAUGCGGAAGUCUGUGAUAGAAGUAACGUGGUUACUAUGGAUGAGUUGGGAGCGAUCUUACCACCUGCCGGCGGCGAGCCGGUAGAGGACAGCUGUACCGAUACGGACGAUCAGAAUAGCAAUUAUCUAAGCAUUAGCAACAGCCGCAGCAGCAGCUGCUUCGACCUACCCGGCGAGUGUUCGCCGAUGAUGGGCCCGGCGAGAUUGAAGCCGGUGUCGCCGGAGGAGGAGAGCCUGCGGAUGACACUUGUAAACGAGCGGUACAUACAGUCGGGACAGAUGGGGGUGGUUCUGACACCGGGCGAGCUGCUGGGUGAAGGUAGCAAAGAAUCCGGCUCAAAGCCACGGCUCGACGACGAAGAGGAGGAGGACGAUGACGAUGAGGAUGAGGAUUCGUCCAUGCUAACACAUUCGGCCGCAACGACGGCAACCGUGUCGUCCAACAAGUCCCGCAUACUGGUGGUGGGUGGAACGGACCAGCAACCCGGUUGUUCCAAUGGCAGCAGCAGCAGCAGCAGCAGCAGAGUGCCGGAAGCUGGCGUGUGUUGCAACAUAGUUGACAAUCCGGUCAGCGAAGCAGCGGGUGGCAACAGCACGGUGGUCGACAUCGGAAGUACGGGUAAUGCACAGGACGGUAAUGUACGCGCAGCAGCAGUAGCCCCGUCCGGAGCGACAGCUAACGGAGCGGUCGGCAACCCGCACAGCCGGGUCACGACGACACCGUCGAACUUAAGUAAUUGCAGUGGCCUACCGACCGUCACCGUGGUGCAGCUGAAACAGAGCAAAAAUCUCAUCUACUUCCUGCGAUUGAUCUUCAAUCACUGUAAGAGCUCCGGUAUAGGAGAGCCGAGCGUUUAUCAUGCCUUAGUAGUCAUAUUUUUGGAAUUUUUCGCCUGGGGACUGUUAACGAUGCCGGUCAUCAAUGUCCUCAAUCAAACCUUUCCAGAUCACACCUUCCUAAUGAACGGGUUGGUGAUGGGCAUCAAGGGCAUACUGUCCUUCCUGAGCGCUCCACUGAUUGGCGCACUGUCGGACGUGUGGGGCAGGAAGUUCUUCCUGCUAAUUACGGUGUUCUUCACCUGCGCUCCGAUCCCUCUGAUGUCGAUCAACUCUUGGUGGUUCUUUGCAAUGAUCUCAAUCAGUGGCGUGUUCGCGGUAACGUUUUCCGUCGUGUUCGCGUACGUCGCGGACGUGACGACGGUGGAGGACCGGUCACGGGCGUACGGUUUGGUGUCAGCCACGUUUGCCGCUAGUUUGGUUAUUUCACCUGCCCUCGGAGCCUACCUGAACGACAAAUACUCGGAACCGCUAAUCGUUGCCCUCGCCACUGCAAUCGCGGUGCUGGAUGUGUUCUUCAUACUGGUGGCGGUGCCGGAAAGCUUACCGGAAAAGGUGCGUCCCAGCUCGUGGGGUGCACCGAUCAGCUGGGAACAGGCAGAUCCGUUUGCAGCACUUCGUAAAGUUGGUCUGGAUCAAACGAUUCUGAUGCAGUGUGUUACGGUGCUGCUCUCCUAUCUGCCCGAAGCGGGACAAUAUUCGUGCAUUUUCGUCUACCUGAAACUGAAAAUGCAUUUCAGCUCGAUCGAUGUAUCGAUCUUCAUUGCUGUCGUCGGUAUACUAAGUAUACUGACGCAGGUCAUCCUAGGUGAUCUAAUGAAGGCACUUGGUGCAAAGCGUACAAUAAUAAUAGGAUUACUGUUCGAAAUGUUACAACUGCUUUGGUAUGGUUUUGGCAGUCAGACAUGGAUGAUGUGGGCAGCAGGUAUCCUUGCUUCAUUAGCGUCAAUUACGUACCCGGCGAUCAGUGCAUUCGUGUCGAUACAUUCCAACCCGGACCAACAGGGAGUGGUCCAGGGUAUGGUGACAGGAAUGCGCGGUUUGUGCAACGGGCUGGGGCCCGCAAUGUUCGGCGUCAUCUUCUACGUGUUUCACGUCGACCUGAACGACGAGCAUAAUGUAGCGAGCCACAGCCUGAACGGGGCCGCCAUCGGGGCGGUAGCGGGCGGUGGCGUGUUCGACGGCUCCGACGCCAAGUUCGUGCGCAACGAGACGCUGCUCGGUGGCUCGGUGCACCAUCACAUCGAGGACGAGUACUCGCAGCUCAUGCCGGGCCCGCCGUUCGUGUUCGGAGCACUCAUGGUUAUCUGUGCGAUCGCUGUGGCAGCCUUCAUACCGGAGACGCCGAGCGACACCAUGCGGCGGCCAUCGGGUGAGAAGAAAAAAAGCGGCUAUCGGAGCCAAGACAGAUUGACCGUUCUUAUUGGAGACUGAUUAGUGCGGUGAUGAUAAGUGAGAAACAAACACACAUACAUACAUACAGCGGGCGAUACGACGACUCAGACGGGGGUUCAGAAGUAAUGGACAGAGAUGUGUGCGAGCCUGUUGUAGAGUGUUUUAUUUUAUUUUUCCACCAACUCACCACUACCACCACUCCACCAUUAUUAACAACCACAACAACAACCGUUGCACAACUUGCUACUGUUUCUCCAGUUUUGUUUUUGUUUUUUGUGUGCCGCACUUAUCUCACUCCCAAGUUGGAAAAGUGUUCCGUUCACCUGAUUUUGUCGAUGUGGGAGUUGUUGUAUGGAGUUGAUUUUAAUAUCCUGUGCUUCGAAGGUGCUGCUGGAAUGUGCGUCGCAGCAAAACUACAGUUUGUUAUUGAAGGCUCUCGUUGGACGUCGAUUACGAGUACGAGCGUGGGCGUAAAGUAGCGGGCCCACUAUCACCACUGAUGCACCAGGACUCGGCCCAGCUAUAGUUGUGUUAAAAAGAAAUAAGAGAAAGCCCACAGCUUAGCUCGACAUAAUCCUAAUAUCGGCGUCAUCAUUAGUUUGUACAAUCUCUAGUGUAAGCAAAAAUCAAAGAAGAGCCGAGCACACGGCGUGAAUGCGGUUACGAGAGCGAGAAAAAAAUGCGGUAGCGCAGGGCCAAUCUAAGGGCUGAGGUGGAGUGAUUAAACUUUCGGUUCGUGGCAGGGAAUUGUUGACCGGUAUGCAGUCGAGGCGCGAAAUGUGCUGUGUAAAAUGUAUUAGUCUGUUUAUUACUUUGUGUUUUUUGCUCCUGAGUUUCCAGCAUGAUGUUGUGGUCGAGCUGUUAGUAAGGACAUGAAGAUUUAUAAUUCCGCUAGGAAAAGCUUCUGUUCUGUUUGCCCCCUUUUGUGGAUGAUGGUUUGAGGAUUAAUUUUAACAACAGUUACACUUUAUUUCUACUGUUUUGUAAGAGGGGGAAACACAAGUCGAUUUGCCCUCAUUUUGUCGCCCUAUUUUACAUCACGCAUAUGUGUUUCUGUUACGGUGUUGAUAUGAAAGGCAAAAGUGUGAACUUUUAGAACGAUUACACGUUUUUUGUUUUUGUUGGGAUGGAAAGCUUUAAGCCGAACGCGAGCUUUCGUGGUUCGUUUCGGAGCACUUGGAACGCAUAAAACCCCUUACACCUUACCUGUAGUUGUGACACAACGAACGUACGCCAUUUUGUAGAAUUGUUCGCUCGUAGUUUGUCCAGAUAAUUCUCCACAGUCUAGUCAACCGACGGACGGACGGACACACAAACACACUGAACAGGCGAGCACCCAGAUAGCAUCGUCUGGGCAGCAGCGGCAGCGCCGGCGGGUGUGGGAAUUCCACUGCGCUAACUAAUCUUGCGUCAUUGGACGGUUGCGUUUGGUCAGUUUUAGUGUUGAUAGCAGCGAGUUAAAGGAACAGAGAGUUACGCACGUCUACCGUCGUCGCCGGUGUAUAUUAGGACUGAAAUGAAGGGAGGGAAAGGUUGGGCAGAGAAAACAAACAACACGUGGAGAAGAGGAGGGAGAAAGAGUAUUUUUUGUCCGUGGUUCGCUUAGUCUACGACAAGAAAACCGAGUGAUAGUAGGAUUAGAUUAUCGAUUAGGGUGGAGAAAUGGAAAGAGAAGGAAGAGGAAAUAAUCGAGCAGCUAGUGUUGUGUGCAUGUGUGUCGGACGGAGAAAACCAUCAGCAGUAGCAGCAGCAGCAGCAUGUACGAAAAAGGCUCCUACCAAUAUUAGCUUUCCUGCCGUGCCUGCUCUUUGGGUGAUAUGUUUUAAGUGUAUGCGUGUAAAAAUUAUGUUAAAAUAGUAUGUUGCCAGAAUUUAACAAACGCUAUCGUUUUUGGCUUUGAUUCGAGUUUAAUAAUCUACCUACACAGGAGGGAAGGAGGAGAUGGUUCUAAAACUCGUUUAACAUUCGUAAACAGUAUGGUUAGAGAGUUUGCUAAACGGACGUUACUCUCAGUGUGUUGUUGGGAGCAUUUUUACUUACACACAUACAGACCGCAGGUAGUGAAUUUUGUAAAAGAUUUCCUUUCCAUUACGCUGCUAAUACGUUACAGAGACAGAGAGAGAGAGUGAAAAGCGCACUUUUAAAAUACCAAUAUACACAGUACACCACACGGCGACGCCGCAAAGGAAAAAUUUGUUGAUUUACGUAUGUGUGUAUGCCGUUUAAUUGGACUCUUCAUAUUGCAAGGUGGCAUCCUGUGGAGAGAAUUUAAAGAUAAUUACGCGCCAUACACCAGCACGACGGGAGCAUCUUUUUAGUGUGUAAUAUAACGCAACCAACAACUGCUGCAGCAAUUCAAAUGUACAUGUAAAAAAAGAAUGAAGAAAAAAAAUUACAAAAAAAAACAAAGUUAUAGCAGUAUCAGAAUUCAAGCAACCACAAGCCGAAAAAGGAACAUAAAUUAGCGAUUUAAUAGUGUCAUGUGUUGAUGCUCUCUUGUUACGCUGCAGAACGUCCAACAUCGAUCUAUCGAACGAGAUACGCAAACCCAACACAGACAACCACACACACACACUGUUAGUCCAAAGAUUAUGAAUUAACUUGAACUACUAGUGGUAGAGCGUUAGUAUUAAACAAAAAGGGCAUCAGAAACAUCCCGAGAAUGCGAGUUUUUUUUUGUAAGAUGCCAGUACGCCGACGAUAACAGAUAAACAGAAACAAAAACCAACAAUAAAUACCAACCCAAGCAUAUGUAAUGGAAAUUAACAAUCCUCGUUUGUGCAUCAUGCAUAAACCACGUGUGGGGCACACGUGCAAGGGGGGGGGAAAGUAGUAGCUCCACAAAUUGUUUUUCUUUUUUCCACCCCCAAAUUUCUCUGGGUGUGUGUGUGUAGAAAAAAGUGAGAAGAAAACGCAUAUUGCUGCGAUAAUCGAAUGCCAUUCGUUUCGUUUCUGUAGACUGCGCACAGUAGUAGCGCAAAAACGGUGCGUUUAAAUCUCGCGUUUCUUUCUGCAUACAAGAACAAAACAAAAGCAGCAAUCGCAGCAAUCGCUGCCGGCGUUAUUGUUGUUGAACUGUUGUCUUUUUUCCCCUUCUUAAUGUGUAAAACUCUCCCACACAUUAUUCGGCCCCCCCCCCCGGGGGCCCCAGACAGACUUAAGCAUUUGCGCCCUUUUUCAUAUGGCCGCAAAGAAACGUACGCAUCAUCAGGAAGAGAGAAUAUUUGUUGACGUAUUCCCAUAUUGCGUAUAUGCGAGUGCGUGCAUGUAGCCGUUACGAUACGCUUUUCCAAUACGGUUACAAUUUUCAAAACUUCCUUUCCCGCCAUUUUUUGCGUUGUGUUCAUUCUUCUCACCUAGGGCAGCAUCUCGGUUUCACUUACUUACACUUACAGUACAAGUGUAAGUACGCCGAAGACGCAUAGCGAGAGUAAGCAAACAAACAAACGGCAUUAUAACGACAAAAACAGCGAAAUCAAAGCGUUACAUACAUAUUUUUUCUCUUUCAAUUAGCUUUCUUUCCCUCUCGCUCUCUCCUUCUCUUUCUUUCAAAUGAUGUUGAUGCUUUCUUAGAAAGCAAAGCAAGAGAGGAUAGAGAAAGAAAACUACUUGAAAGUGAACGUAGUACACAACAGCCCCAGUUAAGUAAAUUUGUAAAUUAUAAGAGAACAAACAAAAAAAACGUGUGAAAAGGGUAAAAUACGUGAAGCGAACACAGAGAAAGAGAAAGGAGUGUGGUAAAAGUACAGAAACGAAUUCGGGUAGCAAAACUAUGCAAAGUGCUGUUGUGUAAGAAAGAGAAUGAAUGUGUGUGUGUGUGUUUGAAUGAAGAGAGAAAGAGUAAAGGAAAGGAAGUUGUGCUAGGCGAAAGGUAAUAACCGUGUGAAUCGUUGAAUCGUUGUGGAUAGAGCAGAAUGGAAUAGGUAAACGAAUGAUGAAAAGGAAGGGAAAUAAAUAUUGGUAAAAUAAUUUGAACCAAA